ACGUAUUAAGAGGGGACACAGGCACGGGACAAGUUACCCCAGCCUUCUUCCCCCCCUACCCUUCGCACUGCCUUUAAUCAUGGCAGUGCACUGCUGCACUGUAAAAUGAGCUUCCUGAGGUCCGAGAAGGGGACAGGGCCAAACGGCACUGAACUGUACACAGUGCCUUUCCAGCAGCAUGGGAGAAUGGAGGGGAAGAGAGCAGUAGCACAGCAAAAACAGCUUCAAGGAUGAGAUCUGAAAUGUUGUUGUGCCCAGAGUUUCAUCCAUCACAUAAUUAGCAUCCAUUAAGGUGCUGUGCCAAAAUCCACAGACUUGGAGGAAGCAACAAGAUUGACUGACAAUUGUACUGAGAAAUGGUCCCAAAUUGAAUAAAGGAAAAGUAUGGCUAAAUCCAACCAAUGAACAGAGAGGAAAUGAUCAAUUAUGUGUAUUCAAAGGAUAUGUACUCCCUGUAAUAAUGUAGGACAUCUUAUUUUCCUACAACAGCAGAGCUCAUUUAAAUGAGAGCUUUAGGACAUUUGCAAGGCACUUGAACUUUAAAAACAGAUUCUACAAAUAAGCCUGACAGGGAUGUAGCUGUAAUACAGCAUCCGCUGAAAUGGGAGAAAUCUCAACAAGAACUUGAUCUCAACAAGAUGGGUGAAAAUAUACAGCAAUUCAGAAUUAUGUGUAAGCUAGGACAAUCCAGCCAAUAGUAAAUAACAUUUGGUGAAAUUUAUGUGAGUGGAAGUCCCUCUCGGGGCUUAUAGACAUGGCAGCUUUUAAUAUUUAGCUGACCAUCUAAAUUCCUUCUGAAGCAGUGUUAAGCAGGCCAUACACCUUAAGAUUUUCUCCAACCAACCAACCAACAAAUUCGCUAGU
This is a long non-coding RNA of Pseudophryne corroboree (corroboree frog), 864 nucleotides long. RefSeq lists it as uncharacterized. The transcript has 3 exons. Lineage: Eukaryota; Metazoa; Chordata; Amphibia; Anura; Myobatrachidae. The record is from RefSeq and is a predicted model, not a curated record.